RNAcentral lists this ribosomal RNA (362 nucleotides) under Heteralepas newmani. RNAcentral describes it as "partial 12S ribosomal RNA". Lineage: Eukaryota; Metazoa; Arthropoda; Thecostraca; Heteralepadidae. The record is from RNAcentral.
AGAUACCCUGUUACUAAUUUCUUAGUUCCCAGAUUAAUAUAAAUAAUGAAAUUUAACGGAUUUGGCGGCAAAGCAGCCUUUUAGAGGAACCUGCCCUUUAAUCGAUGGUCCACGAGUCACCGUACUUUCUCUUGUUUUCAGUUUGUAUACCGCUGUUGUCAGUUAGUUUCUUUAGAAAUCUAUCAAUAAUAUAAAAAGUAUUAACUUCAAGUAAAGGUGCAGCUAAUGAGGGAGUCUGAGGUGGGUUACAUUUGAAUUGAGCAAGCACGAAAUUUAAAAUGAAAAUUUUUAUUGAAGGUGGAUUUAAAAGUAAAAUUUAGGUGAUUUGAUGAGAGGUAAUGCUUUGUGUACAAACCGCCCGU